UACAGAGGUCUCAAGCGUUGUUCGGAUUCAUUGGGCGUAAAGGGUGCGUAGGCGGCGGGGUAAGUCUGGUGUGAAAUCUCGGGGCUCAACCCCGAAACUGCACUUGAUACUGCCUUGCUCGAGUACUGGAGAGGAGAUUGGAAUUUACGGUGUAGCAGUGAAAUGCGUAGAUAUCGUAAGGAAGACCAGUGGCGAAGGCGAAUCUCUGGACAGUUACUGACACUGAGGCACGAAGGCCAGGGGAGCAAACAGG
This 253-nucleotide ribosomal RNA is filed under the name uncultured bacterium. Its description in RNAcentral is "partial 16S ribosomal RNA". It matches the Rfam family "Bacterial small subunit ribosomal RNA", at positions 524 to 776 of the family's 1533-position model. The record is from RNAcentral.